Molecule: ribosomal RNA, 253 nt
Filed under: uncultured bacterium
Lineage: Bacteria
Description: partial 16S ribosomal RNA
Rfam family: Bacterial small subunit ribosomal RNA
Source: RNAcentral
UACGAAGGGGGCUAGCGUUGUUCGGAAUUACUGGGCGUAAAGCGCGCGCAGGCGGUUCUCCAAGUCAGUGGUGAAAGCCCGGAGCUCAACUCCGGAAUUGCCAUUGAAACUGCAGAACUUGAGGACGAGAGAGGUGAGUGGAAUUCCCAGUGUAGAGGUGAAAUUCGUAGAUAUUGGGAAGAACACCGGUGGCGAAGGCGGCUCACUGGCUCGUUUCUGACGCUCAGGCGCGACAGCGUGGGGAUCAAACAGG